This 66-nucleotide transfer RNA is filed under the name Dryadomorpha sp. EMHAU-2015-Zz060407. Its description in RNAcentral is "tRNA-Ser". Lineage: Eukaryota; Metazoa; Arthropoda; Insecta; Hemiptera; Cicadellidae. The record is from RNAcentral.
AAGGGAAAGGGUCUAGAGGUAGCUGCUAACUAACCUCUAAAGCGGUUCAACUCCGUUUUUCUCUUG